This 253-nucleotide ribosomal RNA is filed under the name uncultured bacterium. Its description in RNAcentral is "partial 16S ribosomal RNA". It matches the Rfam family "Bacterial small subunit ribosomal RNA", at positions 524 to 776 of the family's 1533-position model. The record is from RNAcentral.
GACAGAGGGUGCAAACGUUGUUCGGAAUUACUGGGCGUAAAGCGUGCGCAGGCGGUUUGUUAAGACAGGUGUGAAAUCCCCGGGCUCAACCUGGGAAUGGCGCUUGUAACUGGCAGGCUAGAGUGUGUCAGAGGGAGGUAGAAUUCCACGUGUAGCAGUGAAAUGCGUAGAGAUGUGGAGGAAUACCGAUGGCGAAGGCAGCCUCCUGGGAUAACACUGACGCUCAGGCACGAAAGCGUGGGGAGCAAACAGG